This 497-nucleotide ribosomal RNA is filed under the name uncultured bacterium. Its description in RNAcentral is "partial 16S ribosomal RNA". It matches the Rfam family "Bacterial small subunit ribosomal RNA", at positions 28 to 507 of the family's 1533-position model. The record is from RNAcentral.
GAUGAACGCUGGCGGCGUGCCUAAUACAUGCAAGUCGAGCGAACGGACGAGAAGCUUGCUUCUCUGAUGUUAGCGGCGGACGGGUGAGUAACACGUGGAUAACCUACCUAUAAGACUGGGAUAACUUCGGGAAACCGGAGCUAAUACCGGAUAAUAUUUUGAACCGCAUGGUUCAAAAGUGAAAGACGGUCUUGCUGUCACUUAUAGAUGGAUCCGCGCUGCAUUAGCUAGUUGGUAAGGUAACGGCUUACCAAGGCAACGAUGCAUAGCCGACCUGAGAGGGUGAUCGGCCACACUGGAACUGAGACACGGUCCAGACACCUACGGGAGGCAGCAGUAGGGAAUCUUCCGCAAUGGGCGAAAGCCUGACGGAGCAACGCCGCGUGAGUGAUGAAGGUCUUCGGAUCGUAAAACUCUGUUAUUAGGGAAGAACAUAUGUGUAAGUAACUGUGCACAUCUUGACGGUACCUAAUCAGAAAGCCACGGCUAACUACGUG